RNAcentral lists this ribosomal RNA (708 nucleotides) under Triticum aestivum (bread wheat). Its description in RNAcentral is "partial small subunit ribosomal RNA". The record is from RNAcentral. Lineage: Eukaryota; Viridiplantae; Streptophyta; Magnoliopsida; Poales; Poaceae.
AUGAGGUGCCACCUCUGCCUCCACCCCCCACCGGGAAAGGAGCUCGAGGUGAACAGGCAGUGUGGGAAGGCGAGAGGAAGCAUGAGCUCAUCUCUCCUCCAAUGGAUGUCUCGUGCAUCUGGAGUACAAGGAGAACAACACGUGCCUGUUGGAGGUGGCUCGAGCGAUGCAGGCCAGUGGCGAACUAGAUCUGACAUAGAAGACCACAUUCCUCAGGGAUCCCAAAAUAUAUUAGACAAUAUGGUAGUCCAAUGCUGUUUUGAAGUAUAUAUUGGCACUAUGCUGAAAAAGGACAUGACAGGAAGUGAAGACGGCCAGUCAUCGCGCCAUAUUCCCGUGUGCUCCAUUCAUAUUACUAUAUGCUUAAAACGUCGUGCUCUCCUUAUCUACAUCAUGUGGUUUGCUAUCAAACUCUCGAAAAGGCAAAACAACUUUACUCUGUUUUUUGGAGAACCUUCCUAUAGAGUAACUCGACAGAAACAAAUAUGCGAUCAAGGAUAUAUUCGACAGAUUUUCACGCAAAACAUGGAGAAUAUUUUUUUGCAGAUAGUUUGGUGCUCUCAUGGUUAUUUUGUAGUGAUUUUCCUCCUGUUCAUUACUUGGUGCUUCUUCUGUAACUUGGUGUAUUUUGCUGGCUCUUCUCAUUUCCUGGCGAACUUUUUAGUCUGUACAGUCGAAUCGUUGGAAGUUGUUUUCUAUUAUCUAUAG